RNAcentral lists this long non-coding RNA (507 nucleotides) under Anser brachyrhynchus (Pink-footed goose). RNAcentral's name for it is "lncRNA (ENSABRG00000021593.1)". Lineage: Eukaryota; Metazoa; Chordata; Aves; Anseriformes; Anatidae. The record is from RNAcentral.
GUUGAAUCUGCCCACUUGUGGGCAAGAGAAAUGUGAAGAUGACCUCCAUGCAGCUGAGCUGGAAAGGCUUAAAGAGCACCAAUCAAUCUGCAAUCAAGCGGCUGAGAGGCAUAAUUAGCCAGAUUAAUUAGGCCAUAAAGGCUGUGGCAAGAGUCAGCCUAGGUUUGCCUGGAGGUGAGAGCCUGGAGGUUGAGUCCCCUGAGGGAGGCUUGGAGGGCUUCUGGGCUGGGACCACCACCACCAGUUGUCCUGCUCAGUCCUGAGGGCAGCUGCUCUUCUAAAAAUUCCCCAGAGACAGCUAGGAGGGGAAAUGGGCAAGCUGGCCAUCAGUGGACACUGAACUUUUAUGCUGAAGAAACUCACCUUGUGUCGUCCCAAGCCAGUGAGCAGCAGAGUUGUCUGUUCCUGUGUCCCUGUGACCAUGGCCCUGGACCAGGGCGUUGGAUGGUAGGAGCUGUCCUCUCCCCUGUUCCAGGUGGAGCAGAAGUGCUGAAGCAGGAUGUAUAA